ACUGUAAGCCAGCUCCAUCUUUGCUGGAGUUCGAAUCGCACAGAGAUUUGGCUUGAGAAUGACUUCGCUCGGCGUUGUUCGCGCGUGUUAUCAGCACGCCUUUGGUGCGAGUGUGUGGCUAUUUUGUGGCCCCGCAAUAGAUCCCAAAAGGUAUGGAAUGGUAUGAAAAGCAGGGUGAGAAUCUACGCCCACGUCGACUGCGGCAGAGGCCCUACCAACCUUCCUAAAGGACACCAACUCUAGCACAAAAUAACUUCAAACAUACAAUUCAAUAACAAACGAGCUGAUGAGCGUUGGAGCAGAGCCGGGUAGAAUUCUUAUGCAUUGAGGAGCAG
Long non-coding RNA from Hyposmocoma kahamanoa, 335 nucleotides. RefSeq lists it as uncharacterized. The record is from RefSeq and is a predicted model, not a curated record. The transcript has 3 exons. Lineage: Eukaryota; Metazoa; Arthropoda; Insecta; Lepidoptera; Cosmopterigidae.